This is a non-coding RNA of Prunus mume (Japanese apricot), 1075 nucleotides long. The record is from RefSeq and is a predicted model, not a curated record. NCBI's taxonomy places the organism in Eukaryota, Viridiplantae, Streptophyta, Magnoliopsida, Rosales, Rosaceae.
UUCUGCGUCUUUGAGAUCGUGAGGCUGGGUCAAAGUCGGGGCCAAAAUUUAGAGCCCGAGAGUUGUUCCCCUUAGUCUCUGCUCAACCAUUGCCGAACGGCAGGGGUUGAUUGAAGAUUUCUAGAGGCCCCGGUGUGUCUUCGGCGAGGGUUGCCAUUUUCCUGGUGUUGGUGUCGGGUCUUCUUGAUCUUCGGCAAGGACGAGUUUGAAGAAGGCUCUAGCGCAUUCGAUAACAGGGUUUCUCGACCCAUCAAUUUUUCAAUCACCCACUUUCCUUCCCCACAGCCCUUACCGUUCGGCAAGGGUGUGCAUUUUCCUUAACGGCCUCCGUGGAGGCUGCCUUCGAAAAGAUGAAUUUUUGUGGGUUUGAGUCUUGAGAUUUGAGGAGUCUGCAAGUACGGGUUUGCGUUGGGUUGCUUGCUAGGAGCUGGGUCCUUAGCGGGUCAGCAAGAAGCAUUUGUUGAGGGGGCUGCCAUCGUGACCUGGAACCGUGACUGGUGAGCUGUUUUGCAUGCCCCCUGAAUUCCGUACGGUGGUUACCGUUCGGCAAUGCCCAUCCGAGACUAAUGUUGAUUAUGCAAGUAGGGUCUUCGGCAACUCGGGACAAACUGGAGCUGAUCCUUUGGUGAGACUUGGGUAGGCUGAAUGAGCGUGAACUGAAGCUGGGCCUUGAGCAUUUGGCAAGGUACAAGGGUUUUGAGAGGGAAGGUGAAAGGGUGCUAGGGUUUUGCUAGCUUUAUAAAUAGGAACUUGGAGUGACGUAGGCAUCACACUUGGAGAUUUUUUAGAAAGAUUUCCAGAAAGUGAAAAGGAGAAAGAUUUCCAGUGAGAUUUUGGUGGUGGUGCUAGGGCCAAGGAGAUUUCCGGCGAAUUUCCGUGGUGGUGCAAACAAGAUGUUUGAGAGUGAAGAGGCCAGUGAGUAUAUUUGUUCUGAAGAUGAGAGUUCCCAGACAGAGGGUUUUGUAGAAGGGCUUAUAGAAGCUAGGAUGGUAGUUCAUGAGGGUGAGAUGGCUGGGCCAUCAGUAGAGUGUGAGUCAGAGGCAUAUAGGGAGAUGCAUAAGAAGUAUAAAGUGUU